GUACUCGAAUUCCCAUGGGUUCUCCUAUUCCAACCGUUUCAUAGUUUUGAAAAUGCAACCUGAGAAAGAACAUGCGAAAAAGUCAACAUAAAUUUGACCAUACUCGACUGACUUGACUGCCUUUGACCGAGAUUCGAAACCGAAAUCGUCGAAACGUGAACUAUUCUGUUGACUGCUUUGACUCGUUGACCGAGUCGAACCAUACUGAGUUAACCCGAACACUGAGUUGACUCGGUUUGACCGAGUCAACCCGAGUUAGACCAAAUCAGAUCUGACUUUUGUUGACUGAACAUGAGUCCAUUGAGCCAAACUUAACCCCGAGCCUGAACAUGUACCGAACUGAAGCUUGAACCACCUUCACGGACCCGAACUCGAAAUAAAGCCACCAUAAUAACCACGGAGUCGUGUGUCUGACCCGACACCGAACUGAGUCGUGAACCCGAACCAAAACUAGCCUAACCUGAACCAUCAUACCGAAACAAAUUUGUAGCAUCUUGAACCGAGACUCGAGUUACUCCAUGAACCCGAACCAGAACCACUGUUGACCCGAGACGAGCACCCGAAACACGAACAGGUUGAAUCUGAGACUAGAAUUUAAGCUUGAACGGACCUGAAACAAAGUCGCCGUCUCCGAUCAUCUUCACCAUGUCAUCUUCAUCAUCGUCGCAUCACCAUUUUCAUCGACAUCAUCAUCAUCGAUCACGGCUGUGACCGGCCGGACCCGAGAACGAGGUGAGAACGAGGGGGUGGGGGCGUGGUUUGCCGGUUAACCUCAUCUCCGGCAGCCUGUCGGCUUGCCGGCUCCUCCGUGGUUCUCCGGUCAUGAAAAAAAAACGAGGAAGAGACGAAAAUCAGGGGGUGUUGGGGUUGUCGGAGGUGGGAGAGUUGAAGGGGUGCGACUAGGUGGUGUUUGGGUGUCGGAUAGCGGCAACAAGCAGGUGGUCGGAGCUCUUCCGGUGGUUGGUUCGCAGAAGAGAGGGAGCAGGGAU
RNAcentral lists this long non-coding RNA (989 nucleotides) under Helianthus annuus (common sunflower). RNAcentral describes it as "sRNA HanXRQr2_Chr03g0114011". The record is from RNAcentral. Lineage: Eukaryota; Viridiplantae; Streptophyta; Magnoliopsida; Asterales; Asteraceae.